UCAUCUUCUCUUGUUUUUAAGAUAUCAUAAUUUUUAACACGAAUACAAUUUUUAAGGAAUAAUUACAAAAAUAUUCAAUGAAAAGCCGCCUUUUGAAAGGGCGGCAGUUUUAUCAAAUUUGAUUAUUUGGAUUUGAAUAAUACCAAGAAACGUUUCGUUUAAAUUUCAAUAUAAGUAGUAAAUAUGUUAUGUAGAAAAAUAAUCAAAUAUGAAAUUUAAUUCAAAAUAUUAGAUAAUUAGGAUGAUCACUUUUGUAUUGAUUUCUAUUUGUAAUUUUAUUUCUGUUUACUUCUUUGACUUCUAUUAUUCGCGUAUAUAAUUUAAGGUUAGAAAUUAGUAUUAGGUUAAAUAUUUAAAUAUAAGUCAGCUAUGGAGAAACGAUAGGAGAAGAAUAUGGAAAGCAGAUCCUCUUUCACAUUGAAAACGGAAAACUACCUUUUCAAAAAUGGCCAGUUUACCCUGCAAAGUAUUGAAAUAUUAAUUCAACACCACUGACUUAAAAUGAUAAAUCGCAAGAAGACUUGGUACGGCACAUUGUAUUGGCCAAUUAUCUCUGGGUGAGAUAGAAAAGAAAUUUGAUAAAACAGCAGAAUCUCUUCUUGUCGAAUUUGGAAUUGAUUUAAAUAAAACCAAUUGACCCAAACGGAAAGAAAAACAAUGGGGAAAAAGGUGAUGAAAGGCCACGGAGAAUAAUAGUCUUCCAUUCAAAAGGACACAAAUCAAUAAGUAUUUUUAUAAUGGCUGUGAUUAUGUUUAUUUAUUCAUCUAAAAUUUAUUAAAACAUAUCAAUGAUUGAAAAAAAUGAAGAAGAAAUUUAUGAUUUUGAAGAAUUGAUGUAUUAUUGAGAUACUAUCAUCUAUAUAAUUCAAGCAACUCAUUAUUGACUAUAUUCAAAAAUGAUCCUAGUUGAGGCAGAAGAAGUUCUACAAACGGAAAGCAAAUCGAAAAGUCAGAUUUGGUGCUAAGAAAGAUGAUGCUGGGUGUGAUGGACGUAAAGGAUAAAGUAAUUAUUUACUAUGAAUUGCUGCUGCCGUUCAAAUGAUCGAUUAAGAACUUCACUAUCAGCAAGUGGAAAAAUUGUGCCAAGCAAUCGAAAUUGAAAAACAUAUUGAAUUACUAUUGAUGAAUUGACAAAACCACAAUAGUUGUAAUUUCGAAGACGUUAAAAAGAAAGUUGACAGAAAGAGUAUUGAUAGAGUAGAAGCACAACUAUUAAGAAUCAAGCUUUAUAUAAACGCAGAAGCUGGUUUCUUAAUAAUUGGACUUGUAUUUUAUUUUUCAUCCACAUACGCCACCAAGCGCAGCAUUUAUACAAUACGUUGCAGGGUCUGGAAAUUGUUUAUCUACAAGCUGAGAGGAAAGAAAUAAAUGAAUACCACCGAAUUCGAUUGGUUUCAUAAAAGAUCAAAACGAGAGUUCGUUUUCACGUUAUCUAAGAGAUUUUUUCCCUACGUUUUUUCCAAACGCUUUACUAUGUUUUACAUUGUUCACUUUACAUUGUAUUUGUUAAUUAUUUUUAAGAAAACAUUCGACGAAGUUUUACUUUUCUCUUGUAAAUUUACUAUUGUAUCAGUUCUUAUAUGUAUUAAUUAUAUGUUAGGUAUAUUACUAUUAUAUCUCUAUGUGUGUAAAACAAAUCAAAUUAUAUGUCUAUUAUGUCUCUAUAUUAUAUAUAUCUUGAUGGACAUUGACGUACGAAACAAUAUAUA
Vespula vulgaris is the source of this 1709-nucleotide long non-coding RNA. RefSeq lists it as uncharacterized. The record is from RefSeq and is a predicted model, not a curated record. The transcript has 4 exons. Lineage: Eukaryota; Metazoa; Arthropoda; Insecta; Hymenoptera; Vespidae.